RNAcentral lists this ribosomal RNA (497 nucleotides) under uncultured Glomeromycotina. RNAcentral's name for it is "partial small subunit ribosomal RNA". It matches the Rfam family "Eukaryotic small subunit ribosomal RNA", at positions 591 to 1092 of the family's 1831-position model. The record is from RNAcentral. Lineage: Eukaryota; Fungi; Glomeromycota.
CCAAUAGCGUAUAUUAAAGUUGUUGCAGUUAAAAAGCUCGUAGUUGAAUUUCGGGAUUAGUACGCUGGUCGUGCCUUCGGUACGUACUGGUGUUACUGAUUCCUACCUUCUGACGAACCAUCAUGUCAUUAGUUUGGUGUGGUGGGGAAUCAGGACUGUUACUUUGAAAAAAUUAGAGUGUUUAAAGCAGGCUCGCGCUUGAAUACAUUAGCAUGGAAUAAUGAAAUAGGACGUUGAUCCUAUUUUGUUGGUUUCUAGGAUUGACGUAAUGAUUAAUAGGGAUAGUUGGGGGCAUUAGUAUUCAAUUGUCAGAGGUGAAAUUCUUGGAUUUAUUGAAGACUAACUACUGCGAAAGCAUUUGCCAAGGAUGUUUUCAUUAAUCAAGAACGAAAGUUAGGGGAUCGAAGACGAUCAGAUACCGUCGUAGUCUUAACCAUAAACUAUGCCGACUAGGGAUCGGAUGAUGUUAUUUUUAAUGACUCAUUCGGCGCCUUACG